UGGGAAGGAAGAGCCGGGUCAAUAAUUGGGCCCAGGUCUUGCACUCACACUGCAAUCAGACUGACUCUACUUUCGUCUGUUUUAGUCAUUUGAGCUUCUAAGAUGCUCAGUCAUUUGAGCUGCUAAAAAUGUUUGAGAAACUACAAUGGACAAGACUUUCUGUAAAGGAGUUUCCAUGUUUAAUGCCCUCUGCCUUUAUUCUUCUUGCCAUCUUGCCUAUCCACAGCAAGCCUCAGUUCUAGGCAUAGCCUGCCAUUCCUGAUCUUGGAAGGACAUUUGAGCACGGGGUGAGAGAUGGACAUCCCUUGAAAGGGGACUACAGUUCGGGUCUUUGCACGUGGUGGAGGUUGCUAAAGUGGAAGCCAAAAUCCCUUUCCUCUUCAGGUAGGAGGAGGUCACUGUCUGUCCCCAAGACCCAAGACAUGGGCCUUGGUCUAGGGAGCUGAUAUGGUUUGAAUCUGUGUCCCUGCCCAAAUCUCAUGUCAAAUUGGAGGAGGGUACUGGUGGGAGGUGACUGGAUCAUGAGGGUGGAUUUCCCCCUUGCUGUUCUCAUGAUAGUGAGUUCUUAUAAGAUCUGAUGGUUUAAAAGUGUGUGGCACUACCCACUUUGCUUUCUCUCUCCUUCUGCCAUGUGAAGAAGGUGCUUCCUUCCCCUCUGCCUUUUGCCGUGAUUGUAAGUUUCCUGAGGCCUCCCAGCCAUGCUUCCUGUACAGCCUGCAGAACUCAGUGUGAGAAGGGAUCAAUACAGGAGCCAUGGAUUUCAAGGGCCCUCCCUCACCCCUCCUUAGCCCACAUCUGCAGGGCCUCCGUGCUGCAGGCAAACAUAGGCUCCUGAAGAAGAUCACAUCAGACACAGGCGGACAGGCAGAUGGUCCAGCGGGGCAGAACAGAUGCGGCCCCCACUGAGUAUUGCAGAAGAGGAGCUGGUGCUACCAACCUGCGAGGCCCAGAGAGUGCAAAGCCAGUUCCAGGAAGACUCUGCCUCCGCUUACCGGCCCUCUUUCCCACCUUCCUCCUGCCCUACCCACACCCAGGAGGGGUCAGAAAACGGCUUGUAAAUGGGAGGGUGGGGGCUGGAAGACAGAAGGCCAAGAAGAACAAAGAAACCGGCCAUGUCCCACCCCCUGCCCCUCCCACUGCAGGUUCCAGCCCUGAGUGUGGCAUGGGGAAAAGAUGUGCCAUUGAAUCAAUUUCAGAAUUUUAAUGAACAUCUUGUCUGUGACAUAGGAGUGAGCAGAAAAGACAUGAGACCUGCCUGAGUUUUCAGCUCAUAAAGCCAGCAAAGAUUACUCCCAUGGUGCAGUUUAAAGGGGCUGUGUGAUACAAAAAUAAAGUGUUUUCAAUAGACCCAAACCCUGCUUGUUCUGGGGCCUGUCCCCAUAAAUGUGGGCUAAAAUUAUCAUUCCCACACCUUUGUGAUCUCGUUCACCUCGAUGGGACACACCGCUAGUCAUGUACUCACAGGACCACAUGCAUUCUUCUGCCUUGGGUCUUCCUUCUGUU
This 1503-nucleotide long non-coding RNA is filed under the name Callithrix jacchus (white-tufted-ear marmoset). RNAcentral describes it as "lncRNA (ENSCJAG00000062551.2)". The record is from RNAcentral. Lineage: Eukaryota; Metazoa; Chordata; Mammalia; Primates; Cebidae.